UCCCGAAGCAUUCGUGCCCGGUCAGCAC
Molecule: small RNA, 28 nt
Filed under: Bombyx mori (domestic silkworm)
Lineage: Eukaryota; Metazoa; Arthropoda; Insecta; Lepidoptera; Bombycidae
Description: ovarian small RNA-27280
Source: RNAcentral